This 76-nucleotide transfer RNA is filed under the name Chryseobacterium taiwanense. RNAcentral's name for it is "tRNA-Glu". It matches the Rfam family "tRNA". Rfam says of the family: Transfer RNA (tRNA) molecules are approximately 80 nucleotides in length. Their secondary structure includes four short double-helical elements and three loops (D, anti-codon, and T loops). Further hydrogen bonds mediate the characteristic L-shaped molecular structure. tRNAs have two regions of fundamental functional importance: the anti-codon, which is responsible for specific mRNA codon recognition, and the 3' end, to which the tRNAs corresponding amino acid is attached (by aminoacyl-tRNA synthetases). tRNAs cope with the degeneracy of the genetic code in two manners: having more than one tRNA (with a specific anti-codon) for a particular amino acid; and 'wobble' base-pairing, i.e. permitting non-standard base-pairing at the 3rd anti-codon position. The record is from RNAcentral. RNAcentral also lists the same sequence under 2 other names. Lineage: Bacteria; Pseudomonadati; Bacteroidota; Flavobacteriia; Flavobacteriales; Weeksellaceae.
GCUCUAUUCGUCUAACGGUUCAGGACGCCUGCCUUUCGAGCAGAAAACAAGGGUUCGAUUCCCUUAUAGAGUACUA